RNAcentral lists this ribosomal RNA (480 nucleotides) under uncultured bacterium. RNAcentral's name for it is "partial 16S ribosomal RNA". It matches the Rfam family "Bacterial small subunit ribosomal RNA", at positions 899 to 1397 of the family's 1533-position model. The record is from RNAcentral.
ACUCAAAUGAAUUGACGGGGACCCGCACAAGCAGCGGAGCGUGUGGUUUAAUUCGAUGCGACGCGAAGAACCUUACCUGGAUUCAAUCGAGAGGGCACCGCCGGUAAUGCGGCGUGCCCGCAAGGGACCCUCUUGACGGUGCUGCAUGGCUGUCGUCAGCUCGUGCCGUGAGGUGUUGGGUUAAGUCCCCUAACGAGCGCAACCCCUGAGACUGGUUGCAUAUCCAGUCUGACUGCCUCGCACAACGGGGAGGAAGGCGGGGAUGACGUCAAGUCAGCACGGCCCUUACGACCAGGGCGACACACACGCUACAAUGGUCGGGACAAUCCGCAGCCAGGGGGCGACCCCAAGCGAAUCGGUAAACCCGGCCUCAGUGCAGAUUGCAGGCUGCAACUCGCCUGCAUGAAGGAGGAGUUGCUAGUAACCGCCGGUCAGCAUACGGCGGUGAAUACGUUCCCGGGUCUUGUACACACCGCCCGU